AUUGGAGAGUUUGAUCCUGGCUCAGGACGAACGCUGGCGGCGUGCCUAAUACAUGCAAGUCGAGCGAGUCUCUUCGGAGGCUAGCGGCGGACGGGUGAGUAACACGUAGGCAACCUGCCUCUCAGACUGGGAUAACAUAGGGAAACUUAUGCUAAUACCGGAUAGGUUUUUGGGUCGCAUGAUCCGAAAAGAAAAGGCGGCUUUAAGCUGUCACUGGGAGAUGGGCCUGCGGCGCAUUAGCUAGUUGGUGGGGUAAUGGCCUACCAAGGCGACGAUGCGUAGCCGACCUGAGAGGGUGACCGGCCACACUGGGACUGAGACACGGCC
This 327-nucleotide ribosomal RNA is filed under the name Brevibacillus nitrificans. RNAcentral's name for it is "bacterial SSU rRNA". It matches the Rfam family "Bacterial small subunit ribosomal RNA", at positions 1 to 331 of the family's 1533-position model. The record is from RNAcentral. Lineage: Bacteria; Bacillati; Bacillota; Bacilli; Caryophanales; Paenibacillaceae.